Long non-coding RNA from Centrocercus urophasianus (Greater sage-grouse), 361 nucleotides. RefSeq lists it as uncharacterized. The transcript is spliced from 3 exons. NCBI's taxonomy places the organism in Eukaryota, Metazoa, Chordata, Aves, Galliformes, Phasianidae. The record is from RefSeq and is a predicted model, not a curated record.
CAUGCUCUUCACAUAUCUGUGUACCGAGCCAAUCCCUUGCCUGAAAGACAGGGAGGAAAAUGGUGUUAAUCAGGAAGACAGGGAGCAAAAUGGAGCAAGAGUGAAGCCAGAGGUUCAUUUUGCAUGCAAGCAACCACCCCCAGUGUAAGACUCAACCACAGCUAUUGCCAGUCACAGUGAGGGACCCCGUGAUGCCGUGCAACUGCUUCUUUGCGAAGCGAGUUUUGCCUAACCUGCUUCCCAGAAGGUGUGUGCUGACUCCUUGCAACUGGGCUGCUGUAAAGUGCUUCAAGUUGAAGCCAAAGAAACUGAAACCUCAUUGCCUGUUUGCUCAUUUUCAGUCGGGCCCCAUUAGAGGUAC